Non-coding RNA from Drosophila virilis, 78 nucleotides. Lineage: Eukaryota; Metazoa; Arthropoda; Insecta; Diptera; Drosophilidae. The record is from Rfam.
UCACUUUUCGUGUUCGAUGUUUGAACUUGGAUUUUUUUUAUAUACACAAAUCUGUUCAUUCCUCGACACUAGAAGUUU